RNAcentral lists this ribosomal RNA (805 nucleotides) under Galerina vexans. Its description in RNAcentral is "partial large subunit ribosomal RNA". It matches the Rfam family "Eukaryotic large subunit ribosomal RNA", at positions 81 to 872 of the family's 3401-position model. Lineage: Eukaryota; Fungi; Basidiomycota; Agaricomycetes; Agaricales; Galerinaceae. The record is from RNAcentral.
UAGUAACUGCGAGUGAAGCGGGAAAAGCUCAAAUUUAAAAUCUGGCGGUCUUUGGCUGUCCGAGUUGUAAUCUAGAGAAGUGUUAUCCGCGCUGGACCGUGUACAAGUCUCCUGGAAUGGAGCGUCAUAGAGGGUGAGAAUCCCGUCUUUGACACGGACUGCCAGGGCUUUGUGAUGCGCUCUCAAAGAGUCGAGUUGUUUGGGAAUGCAGCUCAAAAUGGGUGGUAAAUUCCAUCUAAAGCUAAAUAUUGGCGAGAGACCGAUAGCGAACAAGUACCGUGAGGGAAAGAUGAAAAGAACUUUGGAAAGAGAGUUAAACAGUACGUGAAAUUGCUGAAAGGGAAACGCUUGAAGUCAGUCGCGUUGGCCGGGGAUCAACCUUGCUUUUGCUGGGCGUACUUUCCGGUUGACGGGUCAGCAUCAAUUUUGACCGUUGGAUAAAGUCUAGGGGAAUGUGGCAUCUUCGGAUGUGUUAUAGCCCUUGGUCGCAUACAACGAUUGGGAUUGAGGAACUCAGCACGCCGCAAGGCCGGGUAUUUUACCACGUUCGUGCUUAGGAUGCUGGCAUAAUGGCUUUAAUCGACCCGUCUUGAAACACGGACCAAGGAGUCUAACAUGCCUGCGAGUGUUUGGGUGGAAAACCCGAGCGCGUAAUGAAAGUGAAAGUUGAGAUCCCUGUCGUGGGGAGCAUCGACGCCCGGACCAGACCUUUUGUGACGGAUCCGCGGUAGAGCAUGUAUGUUGGGACCCGAAAGAUGGUGAACUAUGCCUGAAUAGGGUGAAGCCAGAGGAAACUCUGGUGGAG